GUCUCAAUCCAUGGACAGCUGGAUCCAUUCCUCAGGGCUUGAGGGCAUGUCUACAUUACUCCAGGACAUUGAGAAGCACCUAUUUGCAUGAAUCACAGGAUCCCAUGGGCUCAAGGAAAAAUUGAAAGAAAUAUCUCUGCCACCCAGAACAACAGAGGAACAAAUGCAGUGGAAUCAAUUUGUGCUAGUGCAUGGUACACCACCAGGUGGAAUGGCAGAGGUCUACUUUUCAGGCAAGAUUGAGGCACCCCUCAGAAAUGAGAUGUUACAUCUGGGUUGCAUGGAACAGAAAAGGUAUCCACCUCACCCGGUGAGCAGGAAAUACUCAUCAGAAGAUAAAAUGCUCUGCCUAAAACAUGGGCAAGAAAUGGAAGAACAUUUCAGAAUAGGAAGUUAAAGUACAUGUGUUAGAAUGGUAAUGUUCUUUCUUUUUAAUUUAGACAAGUGUAUGAUCUCAUGUGUACUCAAAGUCUGGUGAGGCUAUAAAAGUUCAAAUUUACUAAUCUGAAUAUUUUCAAACUUACAAGAAAUUUUGCUUUAUAUUAUACUGUAUAUUUAUUAAUGGCAGUUCAAGAGGUAACUUUUUAAAACUAUAACUGUUUGAAAAGUGUAACAGAGGGUGGAAUCUUUUCGAAAGAUUAUUUUGUGAAAAUUUGUCCCAAUUAUGUUAUGUGGAUUAUUCUGGGCUUAAGUCACAAGCACUUAAGCUGAGAGAGAGACAGAAGCCUUAAAGUACAUUGAAAUUUUUUAUCUAACAUUUUGUGUUUUCCCUGAUCUUUUCUUUUAUUAUCUUUUGUCCUAAUAAUUUACUUUAUGAAAUCUUGAGGCUUUUUUGAAAAUUCCUGCAAAGACCAUACCAGAUCAAUAGUUGUUAAUUUUCUUUGUUUACCUUUUUUUUUUUUUUGCUUUUUCUCUGAGUGUGUAUGUGUGUGUGUAUGUGUGCACACUCUCAUGUGUGCACGCGAAUACCAAAUAUUCUCAGUUGUAAUACAUCUUAAAGGAAGCCACAAAUCCAAAUAAGGAGGUGGAGAAAUCUCUAAAUCUCUUGUGAAGUGAUAGUUUGAAAAUAAACCCUCUUUACAGCAUAAAAUUAUUUCCUAAGAGGUUUUCACAUACUAGGAACUAAAGAAACAUUUGUUGGGUGAUUGAACCACAUUUUUAUGAAUUUGAUUUGGGUUUAAACUUAAAGCUCUUCUGAUAUGUUAUCCCAGAUGAUGCAUAAAUUGCUUCUCUAUUUCCCAAGAAACACAUUCAUUUCCUAGAACCAAGAAAACAUGUGAAUCCCACUACAACCUUAAGUUCUUUGAUUCCAAAGUGUGUAACAGGAAAAGAAUCCUACUUAUGUUGAGUUAAAAAUUUGCCUUGCUAGAACAUCAACCAUGAUGUUUAGUGAUUCUUUAUAAAGCAUACCAGAAAACACUUACCACCCAGCCUGCAAAAGAUAACUUCAAAUAUUUAAAACAGUCAGUACAUGUCCUCUCAGGGCUCUCUUUUCAGUUCAACAUUUUCAGUUAUUUCAAUCAUUCUUUCUCUACCUUCUACCCAACCAAGCCAUUUUGCCCUCCAUUUUAUCUAUAAUGCUAUGACCUCUUCAUGAAGCUCUCAGUAUACCUUUACCAGAAUAAAGAAUUUAAAACUUUUCUUUUUCAUUUCUUAUUACUAUUAGUGUUCAUUCAUUUGAUGAUGUUUGGAAUAAUACAUGUGAAAGUGCUUGGAAAAGAAUUAGCCACAUACAAAGAUGUCUAUUUUCUUUUAUAGAAGAAGGAAAUAAAUUUUGGUUAUUGUCAUGGAA
This is a long non-coding RNA of Ictidomys tridecemlineatus (thirteen-lined ground squirrel), 1792 nucleotides long. RefSeq lists it as uncharacterized. NCBI's taxonomy places the organism in Eukaryota, Metazoa, Chordata, Mammalia, Rodentia, Sciuridae. The record is from RefSeq and is a predicted model, not a curated record.